Molecule: ribosomal RNA, 462 nt
Filed under: uncultured bacterium
Lineage: Bacteria
Description: partial 16S ribosomal RNA
Rfam family: Bacterial small subunit ribosomal RNA
Source: RNAcentral
GACGAACGCUGGCGGCGUGCUUAACACAUGCAAGUCGAGCGGAAAGGCCCUUCGGGGUACUCGAGCGGCGAACGGGUGAGUAACACGUGAGUAACCUGCCCCAGACUUUGGGAUAACCCUCGGAAACGGGGGCUAAUACCGGAUACGACACAGCUUCGCAUGGGGUCUGUGUGGAAAGUUUUUCGGUUUGGGAUGGGCUCGCGGCCUAUCAGCUUGUUGGUGGGGUGAUGGCCUACCAAGGCGACGACGGGUAGUCGGCCUGAGAGGGCGCCGGGCCACAGUGGGCCUGCGCCAGGGCCGGAGCCCCGGCGGGGGGCGGAAGGGGGGAAUAUUGCACAUGGGGCGGAGCCGUGUGGCGGCGCCCCGGCGUGGGGUAGGGCGCCUUUCGGUUUGUACACCUCUUCCGGCGGGGACGAGGCGUAGGUGACGGUACCCGGGGAAGAAGCGCCGGCCAACUACGUG